CCUACGGGCGGCUGCAGUGGGGAAUAUUGGACAAUGGGGGCAACCCUGAUCCAGCCAUGCCGCGUGUGUGAAGAAGGCCCUCGGGUUGUAAAGCACUUUCAGUGAGGAAGAACGCCUGGUGGUUAAUACCCAUCAGGAAAGACAUCACUCACAGAAGAAGCACCGGCUAACUCCGUGCCAGCAGCCGCGGUAAUACGGAGGGUGCGAGCGUUAAUCGGAAUUACUGGGCGUAAAGUGCGCGUAGGUGGCUUGAUAAGCCGGUUGUGAAAGCCCCGGGCUCAACCUGGGAACGGCAUCCGGAACUGUCAAGCUAGAGUGCAGGAGAGGAAGGUAGAAUUCCCGGUGUAGCGGUGAAAUGCGUAGAGAUCGGGAGGAAUACCAGUGGCGAAGGCGGCCUUCUGGACUGACACUGACACUGAGGUGCGAAAGCGUGGGUAGCAAACAGGAUUAGAUACCCUUGUAGUC
This 465-nucleotide ribosomal RNA is filed under the name Vreelandella stevensii. RNAcentral describes it as "partial 16S ribosomal RNA". It matches the Rfam family "Bacterial small subunit ribosomal RNA", at positions 338 to 795 of the family's 1533-position model. Lineage: Bacteria; Pseudomonadati; Pseudomonadota; Gammaproteobacteria; Oceanospirillales; Halomonadaceae. The record is from RNAcentral.